ACUUUCAAAGGAUAAUAGCAAUCCAAUGGUCUUAGGAACCAGUAAUCUUGGUGCAAAUCCAAGUGAAAGUA
Molecule: transfer RNA, 71 nt
Filed under: Dicrurus macrocercus (black drongo)
Lineage: Eukaryota; Metazoa; Chordata; Aves; Passeriformes; Dicruridae
Description: tRNA-Leu
Rfam family: tRNA
About the family: Transfer RNA (tRNA) molecules are approximately 80 nucleotides in length. Their secondary structure includes four short double-helical elements and three loops (D, anti-codon, and T loops).
Source: RNAcentral